GCCGGGCACGGUGGCGCGCGCCUGCAAUCCCAGCUACUCGGGAGGCUGAGGCAGAAGAAUCACUUGAACCCAGGAGGUGGAGGCUGCAGUGAGCUGAGAUCCCGCCACUGCACUCCAGCCUGGGUGACAGCGUGAGACUCUGUCUCAA
RNAcentral lists this non-coding RNA (148 nucleotides) under Nomascus leucogenys (northern white-cheeked gibbon). Lineage: Eukaryota; Metazoa; Chordata; Mammalia; Primates; Hylobatidae. The record is from Rfam by way of RNAcentral.